GAGAGCCGUAUACAGCGAGAGUUGUACGUACGGUUCGGGGGAGAGUUCAGGGAAACCUACCGAUAGUAAUAUCGAUAAGGCGUCAGGAGCUUAUCCCAC
This 99-nucleotide non-coding RNA is filed under the name Chryseobacterium gleum ATCC 35910. Lineage: Bacteria; Pseudomonadati; Bacteroidota; Flavobacteriia; Flavobacteriales; Weeksellaceae. The record is from RNAcentral.